GUGUGCGGCCACGCCACCCUGAACGAGCCUGGUCCCGUCUGACCUCGGAAGCUAAGCAGGGUCGGGCCUGGUUAGUUCUUGGAUGGGAGACCACCUAGGAAGACCAGGUGCUGUAGGCG
Molecule: ribosomal RNA, 119 nt
Filed under: Pteropus alecto (black flying fox)
Lineage: Eukaryota; Metazoa; Chordata; Mammalia; Chiroptera; Pteropodidae
Source: RNAcentral